Molecule: ribosomal RNA, 254 nt
Filed under: uncultured bacterium
Lineage: Bacteria
Description: partial 16S ribosomal RNA
Rfam family: Bacterial small subunit ribosomal RNA
Source: RNAcentral
UACGUAGGGGGCAAGCGUUGUCCGGAUUUAUUGGGCGUAAAGAGCGUGUAGGCGGCCAGGUAGGUCAGCUGUGAAAACUCGAGGCUCAACCUCGAGACGUCGGUUGAAACCACCUGGCUAGAGUCCGGAAGAGGAGAGUGGAAUUCCUGGUGUAGCGGUGAAAUGCGCAGAUAUCAGGAAGGACACCCGUGGCUAAGGCGGCUCUCUAGUACGGUACUGACGCUGAGACGCGAAAGCGUGGGGGAGCGAACAGG